GUGCCAACAGCCGCGGUAAUACCGGCAGCCCGAGUGAUGGCCGAUCUUAUUGGGCCUAAAGCGUCCGUAGCUGGCCGCGCAAGUCCAUCGGGAAAUCCACCCGCCCAACGGGCGGCCGUCCGGCGGAACCUGUGUGGCUUGGGACCGGGAGGCCUGAGGGGUACGAUCGGGGUAGGAGUGAAAUCCUGUAAUCCCGCUCGGACCGCCGAUGGGGAAACCACCUCAGGAGAACGGAUCCGACAGUGAGGGACGAAAGCCAGGGUCUCGAACCGGAUUAGAAACCCUAGUAGUCC
RNAcentral lists this ribosomal RNA (293 nucleotides) under uncultured bacterium. Its description in RNAcentral is "partial 16S ribosomal RNA". It matches the Rfam family "Archaeal small subunit ribosomal RNA", at positions 455 to 747 of the family's 1478-position model. The record is from RNAcentral.